AUUGAACGCUGGCGGCAGGCCUAACACAUGCAAGUCGAGCGGAUGAAGGGAGCUGGCUCCUGGAUUCAGCGGCGGACGGGUGAGUAAUGCCUAAGAAUCUGCCUGGUAGUGGGGGAUAACGUCCGGAAACGGGCGCUAAUACCGCAUACGUCCUGAGGGAGAAAGUGGGGGAUCUUCGGACCUCACGCUAUCAGAUGAGCCUAGGUCGGAUUAGCUAGUUGGUGGGGUAAAGGCCUACCAAGGCGACGAUCCGUAACUGGUCUGAGAGGAUGAUCAGUCACACUGGAACUGAGACACGGUCCAGACUCCUACGGGAGGCAGCAGUGGGGAAUAUUGGACAAUGGGCGAAAGCCUGAUCCAGCCAUGCCGCGUGUGUGAAGAAGGUCUUCGGAUUGUAAAGCACUUUAAGUUGGGAGGAAGGGCAGUAAGUUAAUACCUUGCUGUUUUGACGUUACCAACAGAAUAAGCACCGGCUAACUUCGUG
This 484-nucleotide ribosomal RNA is filed under the name uncultured bacterium. RNAcentral's name for it is "partial 16S ribosomal RNA". It matches the Rfam family "Bacterial small subunit ribosomal RNA", at positions 30 to 507 of the family's 1533-position model. The record is from RNAcentral.